This 253-nucleotide ribosomal RNA is filed under the name uncultured bacterium. RNAcentral's name for it is "partial 16S ribosomal RNA". It matches the Rfam family "Bacterial small subunit ribosomal RNA", at positions 524 to 776 of the family's 1533-position model. The record is from RNAcentral.
UACGGGGGGAGCAAGCGUUGUUCGGAUUUACUGGGCGUAAAGGGCGCGUAGGCGGCGCGACAAGUCACUUCUGAAAUCUCUGGGCUCAACCCAGAACGGUCAAGUGAUACUGUCGUGCUAGAGUGCGGAAGGGGCAACUGGAAUUCUUGGUGUAGCGGUGAAAUGCGUAGAUAUCAAGAGGAACACCUGCGGCGAAGGCGGGUUGCUGGGCCGACACUGACGCUGAGGCGCGAAAGCUAGGGGAGCGAACGGG